RNAcentral lists this ribosomal RNA (750 nucleotides) under uncultured bacterium. Its description in RNAcentral is "bacterial SSU rRNA". It matches the Rfam family "Bacterial small subunit ribosomal RNA", at positions 43 to 804 of the family's 1533-position model. The record is from RNAcentral.
CAGGCCUAACACAUGCAAGUCGAACGGAAAGGCCCUGCUUUUGUGGGGUGCUCGAGUGGCGAACGGGUGAGUAACACGUGAGUAACCUGCCCUUGACUUUGGGAUAACUCCAGGAAACUGGGGCUAAUACCGGAUAGGAGCUCCUGCUGCAUGGUGGGGGUUGGAAAGUUUCGGCGGUUGGGGAUGGACUCGCGGCUUAUCAGCUUGUUGGUGGGGUAGUGGCUUACCAAGGCUUUGACGGGUAGCCGGCCUGAGAGGGUGACCGGCCACAUUGGGACUGAGAUACGGCCCAGACUCCUACGGGAGGCAGCAGUGGGGAAUAUUGCACAAUGGGCGGAAGCCUGAUGCAGCAACGCCGCGUGCGGGAUGACGGCCUUCGGGUUGUAAACCGCUUUCGCCUGUGACGAAGCGUGAGUGACGGUAAUGGGUAAAGAAGCACCGGCUAACUACGUGCCAGCAGCCGCGGUGAUACGUAGGGUGCGAGCGUUGUCCGGAUUUAUUGGGCGUAAAGGGCUCGUAGGUGGUUGAUCGCGUCGGAAGUGUAAUCUUGGGGCUUAACCCUGAGCGUGCUUUCGAUACGGGUUGACUUGAGGAAGGUAGGGGAGAAUGGAAUUCCUGGUGGAGCGGUGGAAUGCGCAGAUAUCAGGAGGAACACCAGUGGCGAAGGCGGUUCUCUGGGCCUUUCCUGACGCUGAGGAGCGAAAGCGUGGGGAGCGAACAGGCUUAGAUACCCUGGUAGUCCACGCUGUA